RNAcentral lists this transfer RNA (88 nucleotides) under Chloroflexota bacterium. RNAcentral's name for it is "tRNA-Ser". It matches the Rfam family "tRNA". Rfam says of the family: Transfer RNA (tRNA) molecules are approximately 80 nucleotides in length. Their secondary structure includes four short double-helical elements and three loops (D, anti-codon, and T loops). RNAcentral also lists the same sequence under 1 other name. Lineage: Bacteria; Bacillati; Chloroflexota. The record is from RNAcentral.
GGAAGGGUCGCAUAGUUGGCCUAGUGCGCGCGCCUGGAAAGCGCGUAUCCGGUAAAACGGAUCGCGGGUUCGAAUCCCGCCCCUUCCG